This 519-nucleotide ribosomal RNA is filed under the name uncultured eukaryote. RNAcentral's name for it is "bacterial SSU rRNA". It matches the Rfam family "Eukaryotic small subunit ribosomal RNA", at positions 1161 to 1694 of the family's 1831-position model. The record is from RNAcentral.
CGGGCACCGGGGAAGGGGAUCCUGCUGCUUAUCGAUACUGGGAAACUCAAAACUCCCCCGAAUCCAAACACGAUUGGGAUAUUGAUACUGCUUUCUCUUUCUUGAUUAUGGGGGUGGUGGUGCGUGGCCGCUCUUAGGAGCGGGAGCGAUUUGUCUGGUUAAUUCCGAUAAAGAACCAAACUUUUGCCUGCUAAAUAGACUUGUCAUCCAUUGUGGGCCUUCUGAUAAGGUUCUGGGGCGGAUAAGUGCGGUAACUAGACGCAUAAAAUUGAUGAAAAGCCCGUCUGUGUCGCCCGUCGAUGGCCGGCGACGCUCAAGGACUACAAUGGGGGACGCCUUGUGCCCACAAACCCUGACCCCCAAGGAAUGUGCUAUCAUAUCGAUUUCCCUGUUAACAGUGAUUGACCAUGGACACUAUUGCUCAAGAACGAGGAACUCCUAAUAAGCGGCUGACUACAGCUCGGGUCUACGUCCUCCCUGCCCUUUGCACCCACCGCCCGUAUCUACUACCGAUUGCAU